AAUUUUUGUUUCAAAUGUACAUCACAUUGCAAAUUAAUUAACAUUUAUUAAGAUUAAAUUGUAAUAAUUUUCUAACUGUAACAUUAUUAAAUGUUACAGUUGAUGCUUUAGUUAUUUAUUUAAACAAAUAGCUAAAACAUCUUUGAGCUGUACAAAAUUGCUUUGCAGGCUACUAGUUUGAGACCACUGUUAUAGGACACUUGAGUGUGGUUAUUUCUCUCUUAUUGAUAUCUCUUGACUGAUGAUGACAUUUAUUUUUAUAAAACAGAUGAAAAUAUAUUUGAUAUUUAGCCCUUUGGAAAAUGAAGGAUGAAAUAAAGAGUAUAGGAAAGCAUGAGGAAAGAGAGAAGAAUCCUUCCAGGAAAAGUAUGGCAGAUCAUUAGCGGAAGGGAGACUACAUAUUAUAAGAGAGAACUAAUGCUUCCUCUUACAACUGGUAAUGUGAAGACCAAUAAUAUGUUACAAAGAUCAACCAGUAUGUGAUCUUUGUAACUGUAAGUUUACUAUAAAGCAUAUUUUAGUUAAAUGUUCUUAUUUUAUUGCGAAACAUUUACAAAAUUUUAAUUUUGUAUUUAAUCUUUUUAACCUUUCUGGAAAAGAUUUUAAUUAUUCUGAUCUUCUUACCUGAUGUUGAUAUUUUAUGUAAGAUUCAGUUAUUUUGACUUAUUUUGAUCUAGUUAUGACUUUUUAUAGCAUUUUAAUAAUUUCUGUUUUUACAUUCACCAGUGUGUUUUAUGAAUUAUUGUUUAUUACUUGUUUUGUUUGGUUUUAUCAAAUGCUCUAUUACACUACAUGCUUGAGUAUUGUUUGUUUAUUAUUUAUUUAUUUUGUUUUCUUUUUACAAAUGCCUUUUACACAUUGCUUUUGUGAACAUUGGCAUUGUCUGAUCCAGACAACUCUUAUAUUACAAAACAAGACUAAACACCAAACUCUUCAUUAAUAGUAACGUUGUUC
This 954-nucleotide long non-coding RNA is filed under the name Androctonus crassicauda. Lineage: Eukaryota; Metazoa; Arthropoda; Arachnida; Scorpiones; Buthidae. The record is from RNAcentral.